Molecule: non-coding RNA, 24 nt
Filed under: Cricetulus griseus (Chinese hamster)
Lineage: Eukaryota; Metazoa; Chordata; Mammalia; Rodentia; Cricetidae
Source: RNAcentral
ACCUGUGAUUCUGUCUGAGCUCUG